This 516-nucleotide ribosomal RNA is filed under the name Veillonella sp. oral clone BP2-28. Its description in RNAcentral is "bacterial SSU rRNA". It matches the Rfam family "Bacterial small subunit ribosomal RNA", at positions 8 to 494 of the family's 1533-position model. The record is from RNAcentral. RNAcentral also lists the same sequence under 1 other name. Lineage: Bacteria; Bacillati; Bacillota; Negativicutes; Veillonellales; Veillonellaceae.
AGAGUUUGAUCCUGGCUCAGGACGAACGCUGGCGGCGUGCUUAACACAUGCAAGUCGAACGAAGAGCGACGGAAGCUUGCUUCUAUCAAUCUUAGUGGCGAACGGGUGAGUAACGCGUAAUCAACCUGCCCUUCAGAGGGGGACAACAGUUGGAAACGACUGCUAAUACCGCAUACGAUCUAAUCUCGGCAUCGAGGAUAGAUGAAAGGUGGCCUCUACAUGUAAGCUAUCACUGAAGGAGGGGAUUGCGUCUGAUUAGCUAGUUGGAGGGGUAACGGCCCACCAAGGCGAUGAUCAGUAGCCGGUCUGAGAGGAUGAACGGCCACAUUGGGACUGAGACACGGCCCAGACUCCUACGGGAGGCAGCAGUGGGGAAUCUUCCGCAAUGGACGAAAGUCUGACGGAGCAACGCCGCGUGAGUGAUGACGGCCUUCGGGUUGUAAAGCUCUGUUAAUCGGGACGAAAGGCCUUCUUGCGAAUAGUGAGAAGGAUUGACGGUACCGGAAUAGAAGCCCG